Molecule: long non-coding RNA, 3204 nt
Organism: Lolium perenne
Lineage: Eukaryota; Viridiplantae; Streptophyta; Magnoliopsida; Poales; Poaceae
Source: RefSeq, a predicted model, not a curated record
UUAUGGACGGGUUUGCCCCUCACCGUCUUUCUCCUCCAAAUCAUGUUCUUCCUACCAGCUGGCCAGCCAUGGCCGAUCUCCGCCGACCACCGACGCCCCAGCAGAGGUAGCACCGCCCCACUACCUUUCUUUCCCCCAGUCUUCUCUUCCCGGGGGAACCAACCGGAGUUCGACUUGUACCCCGUCAACGCCAUUCCCGCCGCGCCGGCGGAUCCUUCUCCGGCUGCGACCCCCCUCCUCCGGUCACUCUAUUCUGAGUUUUGCAGGUACUAAUCGCAUCCGUGGGGAGUUAAGCUAGCGAUUGGGUUGACCAUGACACGAAUUUUUUCAGAAGUAUCAGGAUUUUCUAGGGUAUUUUUCCCGAAACAGUGCCAAUGCUUGGAUGACUGACGAGGUACACUCAACAUACCUGUGAAAUGUAUGUGUGUUAACACUGGGUGACAUGUGAGAGGUAUUGCUGAGAAAGGUCGUAGAAUUCUUACUGAUGCUCCACCAUGAUGUCUGCAUAUAUCUCUGUCAUGUUGAGAAUCUGAAAAAGGGGAAAAUGUUAAAGUUCUCAUUACCCAAUGAUCUGAUUGUGUUUAUUUAGUUGCAGUUACUAUGAUAGCCUGUUCUAUAUAACUAUGCCAGUUAAGACGGCCCAAUAAUAUUCUGUUCUAAACUUGGCCAGAGAAUGUUUUGGUAAUUAUGUACGAUUUUAUUGUUUCAUACUGUAUGUCUUGGUUGUUAGCAACUCUUUACCGGUAUCACCAUCGUCUCUGUAUUCUCCUUUCUUGUAUCUUUAACAUUUGUUGCAUAUCCAUAGUUGUUCAUGGAUGAGCAUGAUAUUAAGUUUAAAUUUCUUCAUCUCAAAACUGAUAAGUAAAGCAUAUGUGCACUCCUUAGCACAAGGUUCAGGGAACUUGCCUCCAUCCAUGGAUAUGUACGAGCUAGCUCCCAGGUUCCAUAGCCACCAUUUGGAUUCUGCAUACAACUCAGUGUCAAAUAAUUUUACUCUUUACUAUGCUUGACAUUGGUGUAAAUUUGGAACAUAACUGUAAUAGCUGUUUCAUGAACCAAAAUGCUAUUAGUCAACUCAACGCCUAUGCUUGCACAAGUACUGAAACUCAAGAACUGAUGUUUCUUUUUCCUGAUAUGUCCUGUAAGCAAGCGUGGGCUCUUGGUUCAAUGGACAAGAGUAAAUACUGCUGAGACUGAAUCUGCCUUUUCUUAUAUUGCUUUAGUGGACAAGUAUCCCUUUCUACUGCAUAGACCAUGGUAUGCAAUAAGUAAAUUGUGUGGUUCCACACCUGUAAAGAUAGUAAUAUGUUCACUGCAUCAUGGAAGCGGUAAGUUUCCAUCUGAUUACCCACAAUAUCUGAUGGGAACUUUGAGAGCAUUAACAAAGCCUGAAACAAAAGAAAUACAAAAUCUUUAAAGGCUGAAACAAAAGGAAAUGCAUUAGUUUGUAGCAAUAUGUCCAUUCUGUAUUUUCCACACAUGGUUUGGGUCUUUUACUGGUGUGAAGCAUAAGAACAUUCGGCAGCUAAUAGUACAGUUAAGGGGUGAACAUUGUGACACAUAUUUUUGUCCCUUUGUUUUCAUUUUCUGGUUAACAUAUCUAUUGGAACAAAUUAAACCCAGGUACAUGUGUAAUGCAAAAAUAGAGUCAGCUCAAUUCAUAUCUUCAUCAAGUAGUUCUAGUUUCUUGUUCACUCUUUUGCAUCCUUAAUUUUGAUAUCACACCUUAAGAGCUUCUGCCGUGCAAUCUGAAACCUGCCAGCCCUGAUCUGCAACCUGGAAGGCCCAUCCUCCUUUAGAUAUGUGACGGUAGUUUCUGCUGAAGUCACCAGAAGGAUUGUCCACAAUCUUAAAAUUUAAGUUAGUAGAGUUAAGAUUUAAUUCAAGAUAAAUACAAGUGAAAAAAUUCAGUUCUGGAAACUAAUACCUGGGAUGCUUUUAUGAAAUUGUGAGAUUUCCUGAGGGUACUUCCAAAUUCCUCUGCAUUGUUACAUGCUAAUAUUGCUUGGACGGCAAAAGCAACAUCCCAUAGUUGACCUGCACAUACCUUUGAAUGAACAAUAACAUGCAAUAUCAGUUUGUGCACAAAUAUCAGCUUGACCCCAGAUGCAUAGCUGGAGGAUAAUAUAAUCUAUACUGUGGAAACAGGGGUUAUCAAACAUGUAAAUUUUACCCGCACUUUCAUGCCAUCUUCACCGACCCAUAGGAAAUCAGCAACUCUAGCCAAGUGAUGCUUGAAUGCAUCUGAAUUGGGAUUCUCAAUCCAACAGCAUAACAUGGACAAUGCCUGUAAUUUUUAUUUUCUGUAAGAAAAUGAUGUUCAUCUACAGUGCACGUCCUAGAAUAUAAAAUCUCCACUGAUGCAAAAGUAUUUCUAAGACUAUGCUUGUAGGUUGUAAAUUCAGCACUAUAUUAUUUUCAGAAGACUAAGUCUAACCUUCUGUGCAGCACCGAUGCAGAUAUACUGUGAAUUCUCAUCUUCAUAUUUCAAGAACUCAGCAAUUUGCUGUAGAGCUUUCCUUCUCAUGUAGGAAACUGGCCAACGUGCCAGAAAAGGUUCCCCAAAACUGUAAAGGCAGUCGGACAGGCAUUCUUGCAGCCAGGUACAUCAUUGGAUCGAUCCAGAGCAGAAGAAAAUCAGUAGAGGACCAUGCACAUUGAACACCCACGCUGAAUGAACUGCAGUUUCAGGACUAUACGACAUGUGCAAAGGUGGGUUGGAGAAUGUUGUGCAUCCGGUCAGACUAAGCAGCAUCAAUGCAGAUUAUUUAUCCCGUGGGGUGAUCACAUGGAACCGAUGAGCCCUUUGCACUUUCGAGCACGGAGCCUCCCCGCAACCGCAAGCCGUGAUGGAGGGAGCUUGCUUCGCAGCUGAAAACCAGGGGAAAUGGCUUAUGUGUGCACCUCAUGCGAUUCUUGCAUGCCGUGUGACGGUGUGAGUGUGGUGUGCAGAAUCUCACUUGAUCAUUCGCUUACUCCAGUAGUUUUAUAGGUUGAAGGAACGAAGAAAUGUGAAUUUCUAAAUAUGGUCCGUCGAUGUAGUGGCGUUUCUGACAAUUUUUUUUUAAGUUGAUUCCGCUUUUGACUUUGUAAAUCCUGGGAAGGCCGUAAUAUUUCUGUAAAGUCGCUGCAUGGCAGAGAUGGGUCAAACUAGCCAUUAGUUAACUCGAGAUGCUCAAUAUCGAACCAGAACAAAUGGUCACA